CGGUGAAGCCCAGCUUGCUGGGUGGAUCAGUGGCGAACGGGUGAGUAACACGUGAGCAACCUGCCCUCCACUUCGGGAUAAGCCCUGGAAACGGGGUCUAAUACCGGAUAUGAGCUCCUGCCGCAUGGUGGGGGUUGGAAAGUUUUUCGGUGGGGGAUGGGCUCGCGGCCUAUCAGCUUGUUGGUGGGGUGAUGGCCUACCAAGGCGUCGACGGGUAGCCGGCCUGAGAGGGCGACCGGCCACACUGGGACUGAGACACGGCCCAGACUCCUACGGGAGGCAGCAGUGGGGAAUAUUGCACAAUGGGCGCAAGCCUGAUGCAGCGACGCCGCGUGAGGGAUGACGGCCUUCGGGUUGUAAACCUCUUUCAGCAGGGAAGAAGCGCAAGUGACGGUACCUGCAGAAGAAGCGCCGGCUAACUACGUGCCAGCAGCCGCGGUAAUACGUAGGGCGCAAGCGUUGUCCGGAAUUAUUGGGCGUAAAGAGCUCGUAGGCGGUCUGUCGCGUCUGGUGUGAAAACCCGAGGCUCAACCUCGGGCUUGCAUCGGGUACGGGCGGACUAGAGUGCUGUAGGGGAGACUGGAAUUCCUGGUGUAGCGGUGGAAUGCGCAGAUAUCAGGAGGAACACCGAUGGCGAAGGCAGGUCUCUGGGCAGUUACUGACGCUGAGGAGCGAAAGCAUGGGGAGCGAACAGGAUUAGAUACCCUGGUAGUCCAUGCCGUAAACGUUGGGCACUAGGUGUGGGGACCAUUCCACGGUUUCCGUGCCGCAGCUAACGCAUUAAGUGCCCCGCCUGGGGAGUAC
Molecule: ribosomal RNA, 804 nt
Filed under: Xylanimonas sp.
Lineage: Bacteria; Bacillati; Actinomycetota; Actinomycetes; Micrococcales; Promicromonosporaceae
Description: bacterial SSU rRNA
Rfam family: Bacterial small subunit ribosomal RNA
Source: RNAcentral